CCGGGAGAGCGGUCACGUGGGGGCGCGGCAGUCCGGCUCUGAGGCCGCCAUCUUGGCGGAAAGUUUAGGGGGAGAGAGAUUGGGGGCGCGGAAGGAGGAGAGGUUCCGGGGGUGGGGCAGCCAGUAGAGGAGGGGGCGAGGGGGUACCAGGCUACGGUGGGUGAGGACGAGGCGGACGAGGACAAGGAAGAAUCUACGGGAGUGCGGCCGUUUAGGGGAGCUCGUACCCUGUCCCCUCACCCCCUCACCUUAGCGACUGGAGACCGGAGCGGGGCGGGGGAACGUGGAGAGGGUCAGGGCAGGCGAGCCGCCCGGUGUCGGACUAGAGCGGAUCCUGGCUCCGGCCGCACACCGCUCGCAGGAACUUUGUGGCGACGCCUCAGGUGUGGGGUACAGCGGAGGCGUGCAUGUGGGGCGCGAGGGCGUCGCGGAGAGCGGCAGCUGCCCUGUCCGGCCCCCGCCGGAGUAGACCGGAGGAAACGAGGAAGGAGAAAGGCAGGUGCUUGCCUUCUUCCUGAUUCUGGAGAAAAAUGCCGGUCCGGAAGCAAGGUGAGAAUUUAUUUCGGAACUGUAGUGGGUAUCACUUGCUUUUCCGUUUAUCUGUUU
This 606-nucleotide long non-coding RNA is filed under the name Dasypus novemcinctus (nine-banded armadillo). Its description in RNAcentral is "lncRNA (ENSDNOG00000049936.1)". Lineage: Eukaryota; Metazoa; Chordata; Mammalia; Cingulata; Dasypodidae. The record is from RNAcentral.